This 315-nucleotide unclassified non-coding RNA is filed under the name Hevea brasiliensis (rubber tree). Lineage: Eukaryota; Viridiplantae; Streptophyta; Magnoliopsida; Malpighiales; Euphorbiaceae. The record is from RNAcentral.
CCCCGGCGUCCGACGAAGCGUCCGAGGUUGAAGUGGCCUGUACGGACAUGUGGAAACUCCAGGAUCCAAAUCCGAUUCACCAUUCCCGAUUUUCCAAUUCGAGAUCCAAAGUGUCGCCAAAACGGAAAAUAAUGGACGAACCUGUGAAUAUAGUUAAGCAGCAACAAUUUCAGCUACAGUUACCGAAGAACGAUCUGGAUCUUCGGUUGAUGCAGAUCUUCUCCCCAAAAACAUCGCCGUGUAAACCGGAAAACCUGAGGCUGGGCAGUCCGUCUAUGAAUUCAGAGGAGUCGGUGACGACGACGAUAACGUGUU